UUUUCGUUUUUGUGCGUGUGCUGCAGAAAAUUUCAGAUUUCUCGCAGAUUGGGUUUAUGGCUCGGCUAAUGCUGGACCCAUCACGUAUACGCAGUGUUGACAAUGGCAGACCAAGUGGGUAUUUUCCCGCCUAUUUACUAAAAUGUUGAAGUUCCACAGGACAUGGUUUCUUUUCACAAGUCAGGAGGCAGGACAUGCAUGCAAAAUGAUUUCCGUUUGACUGUAAUUUAUAGGCAGCCGGUCUGCUGCACUCGUUGCUAACCAUUCAACCUCUACAGUAACUCCCCCAGAACUACCAUAAAAUACCCCCAAAAGCUCCCAUUUAACCGUCAUCCCUGGCAUCCUGGCCAGCUGCUGCAUCAUCAUAUCCCAUCCCAUUCUACGGAUGCCUUUUGUUGACUUUACGGCUAUGCAAAGUCUGGCAUAUUUAUAGAUUGAGUGGCAGCGUGGGCGAACAGUGGGCGGACAGGGGGCGUGGCAUUAGCUUUUUUUUUACUAAUGGCCCGGCAGAUGAUGAUGCUCUCGACACCACUUGGCCAGCCGCUUUCGUCGUUUUUUAAUCUAUAUUUAAAUUUAUCCAGCACGAAAUGUCAAGGCGAACCAUUUAGAAUCGCCACAAAAAUCACAAAUCAAACUUGAUAUCUGAAAAUCAAAUUACGUUCUCAUAGGCAACGCAGCGUAUAUGGUCAAAUGCGAAAAUAAUAAGUAAAUACAGAAAA
This 719-nucleotide small RNA is filed under the name Drosophila yakuba. RNAcentral describes it as "GE28916". The record is from RNAcentral. Lineage: Eukaryota; Metazoa; Arthropoda; Insecta; Diptera; Drosophilidae.